Molecule: ribosomal RNA, 301 nt
Filed under: uncultured bacterium
Lineage: Bacteria
Description: partial 16S ribosomal RNA
Rfam family: Bacterial small subunit ribosomal RNA
Source: RNAcentral
CAGUCGCGCGGUAAGACGGAGGGUGCUAGCGUUGUUCGGAAUCACUGGGCGUAAAGGGCGCGUAGGCGGCCUGUUAAGUCGGAUGUGAAAGCCCGGGGCUCAACCCCGGAACUGCAUCCGAGACUGGCAGGCUUGAGACCGGGAGAGGAGGGUGGAAUAUCCAGUGUAGAGGUGAAAUUCGUAGAUAUUGGAUGGAACACCGGUGGCGAAAGCGGCUCUCUGGCCCGGAUCUGACGCUGAGGCGCGAAAGCGUGGGGAGCAAACAGGAUUAGAUACCCCAGUAGUCCCUGUCUCUUAUACA